UGGGGAAUAUUGCACAAUGGGCGCAAGCCUGAUGCAGCAACGCCGCGUGAGUGAUGAAGGUCUUCGGGUUGUAAAGCUCUGUCUUUUGGGACGAUAAUGACGGUACCAAAGGAGGAAGCCACGGCUAACUACGUGCCAGCAGCCGCGGUAAUACGUAGGUGGCAAGCGUUGUCCGGAUUUACUGGGCGUAAAGGAUGCGUAGGCGGAUUUUUAAGUGAGAUGUGAAAACCCUAAGCUUAACUUGGGGACUGCAUUUCAUACUGGAAAUCUAGAGUGCGGGAGAGGAGAAUGGAAUUCCUAGUGUAGCGGUGAAAUGCGUAGAGAUUAGGAAGAACACCAGUGGCGAAGGCGAUUCUCUGGACCGUAACUGACGCUGAGGCAUGAAAGCGUGGGUAGCAAACAGGAUUAGAUACCCUGGUAGUCCACGCCGUAAACGAUGAGUACUAGGUGUAGGAGGUAUCGACCCCUUCUGUGCCGCAGUUAACACAAUAAGUACUCCGCCUGGGAAGUACGAUCGCAAGAUUAAAACUCAAAGAAAUUGACGGGGUCAUAGCUGUUUUCCU
RNAcentral lists this ribosomal RNA (563 nucleotides) under uncultured bacterium. RNAcentral's name for it is "partial 16S ribosomal RNA". It matches the Rfam family "Bacterial small subunit ribosomal RNA", at positions 355 to 1375 of the family's 1533-position model. The record is from RNAcentral.